UCUGUCCCAGUUUGUGAUUUGACCUCCAUGAAUGAGAAGCCCUGCGUCUUUAUAUGCGCUGUUCGGUGAUAAGAAUAGUGAACGCAUGGGAAUCUGUAAGCUUAGUCCUGUUACACUUUAAGGUUUCCUUGUUUUUUGAAACUUUUCUUGGAGCCGUUUGAAAUAUGAUAGCACAAACACCAAUAUGGCCUAGAUUGCCAAAAAACUCAGUAAUAUCAUGGGCAAGAAGUGGUGCACCCAGGAGAAAUACUGGAAACUUCUGGACUUGAAGUCAGAUACCUGGGUUUUGGAGCUGCCUCUGCUCCCUGAAGUCCAGGUGACCCCAGGUACAUCACGUAACUCUCUGAGCUUCCUUUCCUUAUCAAGAAAUGUGGGAAAGCGAUAAUAUCUACUCCACGAGCAUGUGUUGAGGAUGACCCAUGGUAAGUCAUGAACAAUCUGGAACCCAGGACAGGAGAAACAGAGCCAUUCCCCUAAAGACUGCACCAAUCAAGUCUGGUCUGGUAUUAAUUUGAGUAUGUGACAAACAGCAACAUCUCUAAAUGGCAGGAAACAACAAAACGGGAAAUCUGUCAGCAUCUGCAUCAUGCAGGAGAUAGAACAUCAUGCAGGUUUUCGCCUAAUGAUUGGCUCCCGGGAGAGUAAUUAGUAAUUGGCGCACUUCUUGCUGGUGCAACCUUGGCUUCUCUGCCAGAGGAUUCUGAGAAAAGACCGGCCUCAAGGCCUUGAUUCAUGGAAAAAUUACUCCAGGUGCCUGGCUGUGGGCACUGUUCAGCUUUAAUACGGUGGCACUAACACUUAUGCCUUGCACCUGUGAUGACUGAUCCAGAACCAGCAUAAAGGGAGUCUAAGCUGAGAACGACUGCUUCGAGAGCCCUUGUUCAAUUCAACAGCAGCUCUCGACAAAACGCUAACCUCUUCCCAUUGAUCACAGCAUGUCUACGUGAAAGGAAAUUAGUUUAAUACAUUCCCCUUACUAAGCCUUUCAAGGAGUUUCACUUCCAGCACAGAUGGCCACAGUGGAGUCCACCCACAAAGCAGCUCUAAUAUGGAGAAAACCAACCCACAAUUUCAGAAGAGACUAGGACUACAAAGAAUGGAAAUACAAAUGCACUAUGUGGACCAUUCUGCAGCUCCAAGAAGGAGGCGGAGGAGAGCAUUACUGCCAAACCCCGGACAUCUGCCUGGCUGCCAGCCAACCGUCACAGUAUCCUCCCUGCGAACAUUGCAUGUGGCAGCUCACACCCUUGCCAAGUCAUGAAAAUGAUUACCCUACGGCUGUAUGGUGGUGAAAUGGGAAGAGUUUCAAUGACUCAGUUUUGUAAAACACCAAGAAAAAAAAAGACAAGUGAGCACAAGGAAACGAAGAAAGACCAACAAACUUCCUUGUUUCCAAGAAGCAGAAGCACUGAGAAAUGAAAGUCAAGGUCCAUGCUAUCCAGAGAGGGCUUUCAAUUCUGAUCUUCCAUGUCAGUGUUAGUUUUUCAAUGUUGAUAACACCAUUUCUUAUUUUCCAGUAUUGCAAGCUCUCAGUCAUAUGACCUGAAAUGAAAAGAUGGAGAUGAUAUGGAUAAAUCAAACGGGAAAGUAUCAGUAGAAUAUUUUUAAAAGUACACAUUUGGCUUGGGCAGGAACUUCUUGCUUUCAUUCAGUAACAUUAAAUACCCUUUCCUAAUCAAGUUUGGCUUAGUUGAAAUCAAAAUUAGUUUCUGUUUCCUGAGCCACUGAAAGCAAGGGGAGGUGACUUAGAACAUUAUUCUGGCUAAAGCAAUUGCAGCUUAACUAAGGACAAGCCACAAAGUAGAAUCCUACAUUCAGAUAAUAUGGAACUCAAUUUAACACACACUCUUUUUUAUUUUCUUUUCUUGUGCUUUUUUUUUUUUUUUCAUGAGGAAGAUUGUCACUGAGCUCACAUCUAUGGCAACUUUCCUCUAUUUUGUAUGUCGGACACCAACAUAGCAUGGUUUGAGAAAUGGUGGGUAGGUCCACACACGAGAUUUGAACCCACAAGCCCCAGGCCUCUGAAGCAGAGCAUGCAAACUUAACCACUACACCACAGGGCAAGCCCCUGACACACAUUCUGCAUAGCAGAGCUCCACAUUCAUGACUAAGACAACCCAACCCAAUAGCAACAGCAUCACCUUCCUUCACUCCCACCAAGUGAAAAUACACUGGAGAAUGGCUAAGCUCCAAAACAGUGAGUUGCUAAUCAUGAUGGUUUCCGUGCUUCUUUUAGAGGAAAUGAGAAGAAAUCCAAUGCCUGCAUGUGUCUUUUCAGGAAAUUGCUCAUCUGUCUAAUUAAGCUCUUCUUUCUUCAUAGGUCUGUGGAUACAUUCAGCAGACACGUGGCUUCCAGAAAACCUUCUUGCCCUCUUUCUUUUGGGCAUUCGAAGUUUCUGAUGUGAUAGAAUCUCCUUAAAAUGGAGAUUUGUGAAAAUUAAAGUCUCCUUUUAAUUUUUAAAAAUUAAAUUCUCUAUGUUAAGAAGAUUCCAUCACCUUGUAUUAGUUACUGGCUAAAUUUCAUUGACAUGUCAUUAGAAAGAGUCAUUUUCUAUUGAAGCACUUUUGAAAAAGUGUGAAUUAAAGGCUUAAGGGACUAUGCAAAUAGCCUCGUGGCUUGUCACUAGCACAGAGCAUCUAGCUACUCACAGACUCCAAGUUUCUAUGUGCUCUGGCAAGCAUGUGCCAGCUUGUUUAUUUGUUUUUCAGUGGAAUAAUCAUUGUACUUUGGCCUCUGCCCGUUUCAUAAUACACCACAGAGAACCUGCCCUCCGCCUUACCUUCCACCAAUUAACCUUGCUUUAUUUCCUGUCCUUGCAAAGUCAGUACAACCCACUUCACUUCCACCACAGUAAUUUACCAUUUUCUUCCUUCUAAGCCAGGCUCUUCAUUUCUACCUCAAUUACAGAACAACGUAACAGACAUUUAUGGAGUCCUAUGUCAGAUCCUUCAGACGUGAAACAAAUAAGACAAGGGUUUUUCCCUCAAGGAGCUUGCAAUCCAAUCAGAAGAAAUAUACAGAUUUAACCAAAAACCCCACAUCCAACUACAACAGGAACAACAACAACAGGUCUUAUAAACAGCAUGCUGAAGAAGCAAAGAGGAAAAUCCAUGCUCCUUGCCCUGAAGAAGCUUCUAAAAUUCUGCCAGGCUGCAUCACCCAUCAAGUCACAGAUCAUCUGCUUUGGGAGAAGCCAGCUGUCAUGUGGAGCAGUCUCAUGGAGAAGCCCAUGGGGCAAAGAACUGAGGCCCCCAAGCCAACAGCCAGUGAGGAACUGAGGUUUGCCAACAACCACCUGUGUGUGCUUGGAAGUGUAUUCUCCAGCACCAGUAAAGCCUCGAGAUGAUGGCAGUCCUGGUUGGCAGCUUGACUACAGCCUCAUGAGAGACACAUGCCACCCAGCUAAGCUUCGAGAAACGGCUUGCAUUCCUUGGCUCUUGGCUCCCUUCUCCUAUCUUCAAAGCCAGCAAUGUAGCAUCUCCCUGACCAUAUAGCUGUCAUCAUAUCUCUUUCUCUCAGCCAGCCUGAAAAGUUAUCCACUUUUGAGGAUUCUUGUGGUUAAACUGGACCACUUACCAUGCAAAGUAACAUAUGUACAAGUUCCAUCUGGACAUCUUUGGAGCAGAGGGGCAAUAUUCUGUCUACCACAGUUAUGAGAAAUAAAGGAGAGACAUUCC
This is a long non-coding RNA of Equus caballus (horse), 3678 nucleotides long. NCBI's taxonomy places the organism in Eukaryota, Metazoa, Chordata, Mammalia, Perissodactyla, Equidae. The record is from Ensembl.